GAUUAGAUACCCUGGUAGUCCUAGCCGUAAACGGUGAGCACUAGGUGUAGGAGGCAUCGACCCCUCCUGUGCCGCAGCUAACGCAUUAAGUGCUCCGCCUGGGGAGUACGACCGCAAGGUUGAAACUCAAAGGAAUUGACGGGGCCCCGCACAAGCGGUGGAGCAUGUGGUUUAAUUCGAUGCAACGCGAAGAACCUUACCCAGGUUUGACAUGCAUUGGACCGGUGUGGAAACACACCUUCCCUUCGGGGCCGAUGCACAGGUGCUGCAUGGCUGUCGUCAGCUCGUGUCGUGAGAUGUUGGGUUAAGUCCCGCAACGAGCGCAACCCUUGUCCUUAGUUGCCAGCAAGUCACGUUGGGCACUCUAAGGAGACUGCCGCCGACAAGGCGGAGGAAGGUGGGGAUGACGUCAAGUCCUCAUGGUCCUUACACCUGGGGCUACACACGUGCUACAAUGGUCGGUACAAAGGGUCGCAAUACCGCGAGGUGGAGCCAAUCCCACAAAGCCGGCCUCAGUUCGGAUUGCAGUCUGCAACUCGACUGCAUGAAGGCGGAAUCGCUAGUAAUCGCUGAUCAGCAGGCAGCGGUGAAUAUGUUCCCGGGGCUUGUACACACCGCCCGUCAAGCCACGAAAGUUGGCAGUGCCCGACGUCGCUAUCCUAACCGCAAGGAGGGAAGUGCCUAAGGUAAGGCCACUGAUUGGGGCUAAGUCGUAACAAGGUAACCAAGGGCGAA
Molecule: ribosomal RNA, 735 nt
Filed under: uncultured bacterium
Lineage: Bacteria
Description: bacterial SSU rRNA
Rfam family: Bacterial small subunit ribosomal RNA
Source: RNAcentral